GACGAACGCUGGCGGCGUGCUUAACACAUGCAAGUCGUACGGUAAGGCCCUUUCGGGGGUCCACGAGUGGCGAACGGGUGAGUAACACGUGAGUAACCUGCCCACAACUUUGGGAUAAUGCUAGGAAACUGGUGCUAAUACUGGAUAUGUGCUCCUGCUGCAUGGUGGGGGUUGGAAAGCUCCGGCGGUUGUGGAUGGACUCGCGGCCUAUCAGCUUGUUGGUGGGGUAGUGGCCUACCAAGGCGGCGACGGGUAGCCGGCCUGAGAGGGUGACCGGCCACAUUGGGACUGAGAUACGGCCCAGACUCCUACGGGAGGCAGCAGUGGGGAAUAUUGCACAAUGGGCGCAAGCCUGAUGCAGCAACGCCGCGUGCGGGAUGACGGCCUUCGGGUUGUAAACCGCUUUCAGCAGGGACGAAGCUUUUUGUGACGGUACCUGCAGAAGAAGCACCGGCUAACUACGUG
This 465-nucleotide ribosomal RNA is filed under the name uncultured bacterium. Its description in RNAcentral is "partial 16S ribosomal RNA". It matches the Rfam family "Bacterial small subunit ribosomal RNA", at positions 28 to 507 of the family's 1533-position model. The record is from RNAcentral.